RNAcentral lists this unclassified non-coding RNA (1100 nucleotides) under Amphibalanus amphitrite. RNAcentral's name for it is "uncharacterized LOC122376482, transcript variant X1". The record is from RNAcentral. Lineage: Eukaryota; Metazoa; Arthropoda; Thecostraca; Balanomorpha; Balanidae.
CAAUAAAGGUCCGUGCUGAGCCUGGAUGUUACAAUUGGCGACGAGGUGAAUAUCGUGCUAUGGAAGAUGGCUGAAGGCUUCAGUUUAGCCCCAUUUGAUUUACGCGAAGAUGUGUGGGAAGAGUGGUUCGAGAGAUUUGAGUUUUACUUGGAUGCAAGAAAUGUGACUGACAAUGGCAAGAAGAAGUCCUACCUGCUUUCACAAUGCGAAGCGGCUUCCAGGGACGCCAGGAUCAUCGGAGGACAGGAGAGCACCGUCAACGAGAUCUCUGUGCCGGGUCGGGACGUGACGCCGGGUGGGAUCAAUGAAGUGCACGCCGGCCAACGCAGUCGCGAACCUACACUGGAGCCAAGAUUCCGGUCGUGGGUGAAUUCAUCGCGGACGUGAAGUACAACAACCAGGCGAGAUGGCUUCCACUGGUGGUGGUUGGAGGAGAUGGACCAAACCUCCUCGGGCGCGACUGGCUUGGGAACCUGAAGCUGGACUGGUUCAACAUCUUCUCGGUAUCGACGCCUGGGCUUCGGUGUCAACUCGGCGGUGGCGUUGUUUCAGCGAGAGAUGGAGAAGUUGUUGAAUGGUAUGCCUGGUGUCUGUGUUUUCCUAGAUGAUGUGCUCAUUACUGGGAAAUCCCAGAACGACUGCUUACAGCGCACAUCUGCGGUGUUGGAGAAGCUGCAAGAUGCCGGACUCCGUGUGUCGGAGAAGAAGUGCAAAUUCUGCGUGGACAGCGUGGAGUACCUGGGGCACAGGAUCGACGCUGAGGGCUGUCACCCCACAGAGGCGAAGGUGAGAGCCAUCCACUCUGCGCCAAGUCCCAAAAACGUGUCAGAGCUGAAAAGUUUCUUGGGCAUUCUGAAUUACUAUGCUCGUUUUCUACCAAACCGAUCUGAGGUACUGUCACCAUUGCAUGAGCUUUUGAAAAAGGAUGCUUUGUGGGCCUGGGGACCAAAGCAGCAGAGUGCUUUCAAUGAGGCAAAAACGUUGAUAACGUCGGAACGAGUGCUGGCGCAUUUUGAUCCAACCGUUCCUCUUGUGCUCACUUGUGACGCAUCCUCUGUUGGCAUUGGCUCAGUGCUCUCACACAGAUACAGGGAUGGGUC